UCGAGCGAGUCUGCCUUGAAGAUCGGAGUGCUCGCACUCUGUGAAACAAGAUACAGGCUAGCGGCGGACGGGUGAGUAACACGUGGGUAACCUGCCCAAGAGAUCGGGAUAACACCUGGAAACAGAUGCUAAUACCGGAUAACAACAGAUGAUGCCUAUCAACUGUUUAAAAGAUGGUUCUGCUAUCACUCUUGGAUGGACCUGCGGUGCAUUAGCUAGUUGGUAGGGUAACGGCCUACCAAGGCGAUGAUGCAUAGCCGAGUUGAGAGACUGAUCGGCCACAUUGGGACUGAGACACGGCCCAAACUCCUACGGGAGGCAGCAGUAGGGAAUCUUCCACAAUGGACGCAAGUCUGAUGGAGCAACGCCGCGUGAGUGAAGAAGGGUUUCGGCUCGUAAAGCUCUGUUGUUGGUGAAGAAGGACAGGGGUAGUAACUGACCUUUGUUUGACGGUAAUCAAUUAGAAAGUCACGGCUAACUACGUGCCAGCAGCCGCGGUAAUACGUAGGUGGCAAGCGUUGUCCGGAUUUAUUGGGCGUAAAGCGAGUGCAGGCGGCUCGAUAAGUCUGAUGUGAAAGCCUUCGGCUCAACCGGAGAAUUGCAUCAGAAACUGUCGAGCUUGAGUACAGAAGAGGAGAGUGGAACUCCAUGUGUAGCGGUGAAAUGCGUAGAUAUAUGGAAGAACACCGGUGGCGAAGGCGGCUCUCUGGUCUGUUACUGACGCUGAGGCUCGAAAGCAUGGGCAGCGAACAGGAUUAGAUACCCUGGUAGUCCAUGCCGUANACGAUGAGUGCUAAGUGUUGGGAGGUUUCCGCCUCUCAGUGCUGCAGCUAACGCAUUAAGCACU
RNAcentral lists this ribosomal RNA (847 nucleotides) under uncultured bacterium. RNAcentral describes it as "bacterial SSU rRNA". It matches the Rfam family "Bacterial small subunit ribosomal RNA", at positions 62 to 868 of the family's 1533-position model. The record is from RNAcentral.